RNAcentral lists this transfer RNA (73 nucleotides) under Limosilactobacillus reuteri. RNAcentral's name for it is "Lactobacillus reuteri tRNA-Met". It matches the Rfam family "tRNA". Rfam says of the family: Transfer RNA (tRNA) molecules are approximately 80 nucleotides in length. Their secondary structure includes four short double-helical elements and three loops (D, anti-codon, and T loops). The record is from RNAcentral. Lineage: Bacteria; Bacillati; Bacillota; Bacilli; Lactobacillales; Lactobacillaceae.
GGACCUUUAGCUCAGUAGGUAGAGCAGGCGGCUCAUAACCGCUCGGUCGUAGGUUCGAGUCCUGCAAGGUCCA